AUUGAACGCUAGCGUCAGGCCUAACACAUGCAAGUCGAGCGAGCGGGGGACGGGUGAGUAAUGUAUGGGGACUGCCCGCUAGAGGGAGAUCACUACUGGAAACGGUUGCUAAUACCGCAUACUAUCGGAUAACCCAUAUGGGAUUAGAUAGUAGGUGGGGUAAAGGCUCACCUAGGCGACGAUAUCUAGCUGGGCUGAGAGGAUUAUCAGCCACAAUGGGACUGAGACACGGCCCAUACGCCUACGGAGGCAGCAGUGGGGAAUAUUGCACAGUGGGCGCAAGCCUGAUGCAGCCAUGCCGCGUGUAUGAAGAAGGCCUUAGGGUUGUAAAGUACUUUCAGCGGGGAGGCGUUACCCGCAGAAGAAUCACCGGCUAACUCCGUGCCAGCAGCCGCGGUAAUAC
This 403-nucleotide ribosomal RNA is filed under the name uncultured bacterium. RNAcentral describes it as "partial 16S ribosomal RNA". It matches the Rfam family "Bacterial small subunit ribosomal RNA", at positions 30 to 526 of the family's 1533-position model. The record is from RNAcentral.